CCGCCAGGCCCCAUCUCCGAGGUUCCCAUCUCCAAUGCACCGCAACCGUCCCCGUCUCCCCCUCCCAGCUACCGCCUACCGCCCACCAUCUCCCUCCUCUCCUCCCUAGCCUGUGGGCUUUCAGAUCAAGCAGGCGAUGCGGCGGCGCUACAAGAUCCAUGAGGCACCACCCCGGGCUCGUCGUUGCGGCUUACAUCCACGUACUCUAAUUCAGUGUCACGCAACGGCAGUGGCUGAGAUCCUACUCGCGCUGAGGCGAAGCUAUGGCGGCGCCACGCUCCCUCACCACCCCUAGCUGACAAGUGGUCGCUCCCAUCGGUCCCUCCCUGCGCCACCCGAGCGAAAGAAAGUGGUGGUGCGCCGUCGACCCGACGCCCUCUCUUCGACCGGUAGUGUAGGGCGCGGAGGCGCAGUGCUCCGUCCCCACCCCCAGCAGAGGGACGCGGUGGCACACUGCUCUCUCUCCCCACACCAGCCUAGCGGACGCCCAUGGUCCCUCCCCUACCUGAUCUAAUAGGCACAACCGCGGCAGCGCCCAACCUUCUCUCACCAUCCAGCAGGGCCUGAAGUCCUCCAGCUCCGGGCUUCACAAACUCCACGAAUGAAAUUGUCCCGAACAUUUGGGCUCCGAGAAGUUGAAUUCAUGAAGCUAUACCCGAUGAUAGUGCAAAAACGUGGAGGAGCAUCGGCCCAGCUCCACCGAAACUGAAAGCUGGAGUUUGCCCAAAUUACAGCCGGCAUGCCACCGCCAAACUUACCUUUUCGUUCUCCUGCCCGCACACAAAAGAAAAUGUAUCGAACACUAUCUCCCCCGCUCGUUCCCCUCAAGCAGCUACCCCUAUCCGCCGUCGCAUGCUCCGCCACAGCGCUCCUUCCCGGCGACAGAUCAAGGCGUUCCAGGCCAGUCCCGCCCGGUUCCCAUCGACACAGCCCGAAGGAAGCAACCCCAAGAUCAGGACCUAAGCACCAACGCCAUUGACGCACUGCUCAUCUCACAUGAGUCCACCUCAUCUCACGUGCUCACCCAAAAAUGGGCAGCCUUCGCCGGCCCAACAUGCACGAACAGGCCACAUCCCUUCUAGUUGGGCUGCAGCGCAGGAAAGAAGCUGGAGUCAGAGCCGAACAGAAUCUGAAUCGCUGGACGGAGCAAGAAGCCACGAUGAGAAGCUGGUUUUAUAGAGUUUUGAGAAGCUAGGGAGACUCCGAACACGCCCUUAGUUGAUCUGUGAUUUGUACUAUGGUAGCCGCUAGGUAGGGCUAGUUUAUGGAGUUAGUGCUGAAAUUGAUGAAGAGGAAGACGAACAUGAGCAGCCGUGUUGAUCCUGCCUAAUGGAUGCGUUCGUGUGUUGGUAGAUUCGCGUGUGUGUGUUGAUCCAUGUGUGCAUGUUUUUUGAUCGAUGCAAGAUUUGUAAUGUGUUAUCUCCUUAUGACGUGUGUUCAUUGAUUUAUGGCGUGGUGUGUGUGUGUUGGUAAAUCCUCUCAACCUCUAAUAUCAAAUUUGGGUCUCGACUAGGGGGCAUGAUGGAUUUUUGUCUAAGACGCGAGUAUGAGUUGGCUGGAUUUGUGUCGCGAGUUGCCGGAAUUGUGGUAUGAGUUUGCCAGAUCCCCAUUACGACAGAGUUGUAGGGCUUUUUAAGAGGGGGCGUGGUGGAGUUGCAGGCGUGUUAGCACUAUUUGGCUCGGAUUUGUGGAGCGAGUUGCCAGAGUCUUGCUAUGAGAUCUUACCGGAUCCUUCUGCUAGUCUGUGGAGUUCUGCUACUAGCCAGCGCUUUCAACCAUUGCUUACUUUAGAGUACAAAAAACACGCACACACAAUGCGUUCAUGGAGAUUUUGAACUUACCAUUGGGGAUAUUUCUAUCAGCCCGAAUGUUGCUUAGUUGUUGAUUCCCGAGUGGAGGGUUUGUGGUUU
Molecule: long non-coding RNA, 1910 nt
Organism: Triticum aestivum (bread wheat)
Lineage: Eukaryota; Viridiplantae; Streptophyta; Magnoliopsida; Poales; Poaceae
Exons: 2
Source: RefSeq, a predicted model, not a curated record